This 626-nucleotide unclassified non-coding RNA is filed under the name Hevea brasiliensis (rubber tree). Lineage: Eukaryota; Viridiplantae; Streptophyta; Magnoliopsida; Malpighiales; Euphorbiaceae. The record is from RNAcentral.
AAAAGUUGUAUUACAUUAAUUAUACCAGCCACAAUUAUACAUGAUGUCCAGUGCAAAGCUUUACAGCUCACACCAAAGGCAAAGACAGAAUAGCACCUUUAUCUCCUAAUAAAAAACCACCAUAUCAAUAAUAUAAAUACAAUACAUGUUUGUCUUCUUUACUUUUUCCUCCACAACAACAACACUCAGAUUUACAUGAAAUUGCAUAAAAUUUAGCAGGACCAUCAAGGCUCCAUGAAAGUUCAUUGUAUUUGAGAAGCCACAGCAGACAAUUACAGAAUAAUAUGAAGUUUUUCAACUGAGGCUUCUAAAUGAACCUUCUCAAGAUUCAGCAGGGGGACUUUGGAUACAGCAAAGCCAUUUCUUAGGCGGUGCCUUGGCAGGAUCUGCUGCAGGCCUGCCAUGUGCAUCAACUUUUCCAGGUGAAUCAGGUUUGCCGCCUGUUUUCUUCUCAUCUCUAGCUUUGUUAAAAAUCACGGUAAAACCCUCAGCUGAUGUCGGAUCAUUAACAUCCCACUCACCAAAUUUUGGCAGUGGCCGACCUUUGUCCGUCAUGAAUUCUAGAGAGAGAACGUUUCGGAGGAAAAACAAUGGAAUUUCAAAUCAAUCAAAGUAGAGAAAAUAAG